Molecule: long non-coding RNA, 498 nt
Organism: Bombina bombina (fire-bellied toad)
Lineage: Eukaryota; Metazoa; Chordata; Amphibia; Anura; Bombinatoridae
Exons: 2
Source: RefSeq, a predicted model, not a curated record
AUAUUAUAUAAGGGGCCUGUCUCACUCUUUUCUCAUUUUCUAUGUAGACUCAAACAAAAUAAAUGCUACAGUAGUCUGAAACCCAGAAUAACUUCCUCAUCCUUAAAAGCAACAAUCAAAAAGGUGAUAGGAAUAUAAAACAAGCAUGGCAGCAGCAAGAACCAAGCUGAAAGGAUCAAGAGAGAGGUGAAAUGCUUCAGCGCAAGGCCCCAAUGAAGCCAUCAUGUGACAAGAAUCCCAAACCUGCUGCAAUAGGAAAAAAGAAAACAGAAGGGAAAGGCCAGUCUUGUGGCAGAGCUGAUAGAGAUGUCAGCCCUGCUUCAGUAAUCUCAUGACGCCUCAGCCCAGCGUGGGGCACAGGAGAUCCACAGUCAGCAUGGCGUGACGAGGAAGACCACCCCACUGAAGGCAGCAAGGGGGCAGGCGGACACACAAAUCAAAGUAGAAGAAAGUAAUUUUUGAUAAAUUAAAGAAAUCUCCAUGGAAAUUAGCAUGAAA